AUAUAUUUUACUAGUAUUAUUUAUAUUUUCUGACUUUUCACAACAUAAACAAACUUAGCCCUGACUUUGAACUACCUCAAACUCGACCUCGACCACCUGUUGCAACAAGUUGGCUCUCCGGUCUUCGGCUCGAACAUGUUGCGCUCUCUGGCGCUUGUAUCUUUGUAUCUUCGCGCUUCCACCGAUCGAAUUUCUUUCGUGUUGCGCCUGCGCACAUUUGUAUCUCUACCGUUGACGUCUUCGGAUUUGUGCGGAUUCUUCAGCGCAGUGCCGCACACUAUUUUUCGCGUGCCCGUUUCUUCGGUUCGGUUUCAUUGUGGACGUGGAUAUCUUCCUCAACUUCAUUCAAACUACCACACGUACACGUGAAGUGGCAAUAAUCGAAAGAGCAAGCAACAGAAAUUAGAACAAGCCCACAGCAAAAAAACCGAAUAAAAAGUGAACAAAAAUAGCAAAAAAGUUUCAAUAUUACUAUGGAUAAAAUGAGGCAGAAAAAUUGUGAAAAUGGUUGACAAAAAGUUACACAAAUUGUCCAAUACAAACCAAAUAAAGUUACACAAAUUGGUAUAACCAGAAAAGUGCUAAAAAUUGUGAAAAACGAAAAUUAUAUAAAAGAAAAAAACAGUGCAAUACAAACAACACCAGCAAGGAAUUACAAUUAACAAAAAAGUUAAAAUUCAAAACAAAUACAAAGUUUAUACAUUCCUGUUGUAAAUAUUCUUAAACAAAAAAAGAAACGAAAACCACGGAAUUAUUUAUACUCCAAAUAAAAUAUUGUAUAUACGCAAAGAAAAAUAUUUAAAAAAAAAUUGGGAUCUUUAUAAACCUCUUUCCAUAAACGGGACUAUCAUCUAAGCUCGCAGGGUUCCAAUUUAAUUCUAUAUCCCAUAUUUUAUAUAAACAGUCUGAUCGUACCACAUCCCGUUCAUUAUUUUACGCAUAAUUUUAUGUCUUCCUCCCAUUGUUUUUGAUUAAACUGAACUUGACCGUAAAGGAUUAAUU
Molecule: non-coding RNA, 1002 nt
Organism: Drosophila bipectinata
Lineage: Eukaryota; Metazoa; Arthropoda; Insecta; Diptera; Drosophilidae
Source: RefSeq, a predicted model, not a curated record